ACCAUCGAAAGAUUUUGCUAUCCACCUAAACCGCAACUAUUUUCAUCUGAACCAAGGGAAGCAUCGAAAUUUAUUUUUAACACAUCCCUAGGUGGCGCCUCCCAAUGAGUUAACAUUCUUCCAACUGCUCGAAACGAAUGUGGACUAAGAACAACUGAGAACGCUCCUCGCAAUUCCAUGAUGAACUUCUUGGCGAAAACAAUGACAUCCAUAGUUGAAUAAUGUACUUCCUCGAAACAACACGUAUUUCUCUUAUUCCAAAUGGCCCAACACAAUACAACACAAUAUUCAACUUGUGCACUAUCCUGCCUUUUCAUGCGCAUGAACCAAUCGAGAAAAUUUCGCUAUCUCGGCCAAAGUGUCGACCAUAGCACUCCACUUAGCGCCUACACUUGUCUAGCGAAAGAGCACAUUGAUAGGCAAUGGAGAACAUCUUCGUCGUCAUCAGUGCAUACUUUCCAUGUGC
RNAcentral lists this long non-coding RNA (466 nucleotides) under Erythranthe guttata (spotted monkey flower). Its description in RNAcentral is "long non-coding RNA (EGUT_LNC001668)". Lineage: Eukaryota; Viridiplantae; Streptophyta; Magnoliopsida; Lamiales; Phrymaceae. The record is from RNAcentral.